Molecule: transfer RNA, 73 nt
Filed under: Mycolicibacterium sp. CBMA 294
Lineage: Bacteria; Bacillati; Actinomycetota; Actinomycetes; Mycobacteriales; Mycobacteriaceae
Also listed under: 5 other names
Description: tRNA-Lys
Rfam family: tRNA
About the family: Transfer RNA (tRNA) molecules are approximately 80 nucleotides in length. Their secondary structure includes four short double-helical elements and three loops (D, anti-codon, and T loops).
Source: RNAcentral
GUGCCGCCAGCACAGUUGGUAUAGCAGCUGACUCUUAACCAGCGGGUCGGGGGUUCGAUGCCCUCGCGGCGCA